This 253-nucleotide ribosomal RNA is filed under the name uncultured bacterium. Its description in RNAcentral is "partial 16S ribosomal RNA". It matches the Rfam family "Bacterial small subunit ribosomal RNA", at positions 524 to 776 of the family's 1533-position model. The record is from RNAcentral.
UACGGAGGGAGCUAGCGUUGUUCGGAAUCACUGGGCGUAAAGCGCACGUAGGCGGAUUGUUAAGUCAGGGGUGAAAUCCUGGAGCUCAACUCCAGAACUGCCUUUGAUACUGGCGAUCUUGAGUUCGGGAGAGGUGAGUGGAACUGCGAGUGUAGAGGUGAAAUUCGUAGAUAUUCGCAAGAACACCAGUGGCGAAGGCGGCUCACUGGCCCGAUACUGACGCUGAGGCACGAAAGCGUGGGGAGCAAACAGG